Molecule: transfer RNA, 70 nt
Filed under: Ictidomys tridecemlineatus (thirteen-lined ground squirrel)
Lineage: Eukaryota; Metazoa; Chordata; Mammalia; Rodentia; Sciuridae
Description: Spermophilus tridecemlineatus (thirteen-lined ground squirrel) tRNA
Rfam family: tRNA
About the family: Transfer RNA (tRNA) molecules are approximately 80 nucleotides in length. Their secondary structure includes four short double-helical elements and three loops (D, anti-codon, and T loops).
Source: Rfam by way of RNAcentral
GGGGUUGUGGCUUAGAGGUAGAGCACUCGCCUUAGCAUGCGUGAGGCCCUGGGUUCAAUCCUCAGCACCA